Molecule: microRNA precursor, 77 nt
Filed under: Gekko japonicus
Lineage: Eukaryota; Metazoa; Chordata; Lepidosauria; Squamata; Gekkonidae
Description: Gja-Let-7-P2b2_pre stem-loop
Rfam family: let-7 microRNA precursor family
About the family: This family represents the microRNAs (miRNA) let-7 and mir-98. let-7 was identified from a study of developmental timing in C. elegans, and was later shown to be part of a much larger class of non-coding RNAs termed miRNAs. The extents of the hairpin precursors are not generally known and are estimated based on hairpin prediction.
Source: RNAcentral
UGAGGUAGUAGGUUGUGUGGUUUCAGGGUAGUGAUUUUACCCCAAUCAGGAGAUAACUAUACAACCUACUGCCUUCC